This 66-nucleotide transfer RNA is filed under the name Perlesta teaysia. Its description in RNAcentral is "tRNA-Glu". It matches the Rfam family "tRNA". From Rfam's summary of the family: Transfer RNA (tRNA) molecules are approximately 80 nucleotides in length. Their secondary structure includes four short double-helical elements and three loops (D, anti-codon, and T loops). Further hydrogen bonds mediate the characteristic L-shaped molecular structure. tRNAs have two regions of fundamental functional importance: the anti-codon, which is responsible for specific mRNA codon recognition, and the 3' end, to which the tRNAs corresponding amino acid is attached (by aminoacyl-tRNA synthetases). tRNAs cope with the degeneracy of the genetic code in two manners: having more than one tRNA (with a specific anti-codon) for a particular amino acid; and 'wobble' base-pairing, i.e. permitting non-standard base-pairing at the 3rd anti-codon position. The record is from RNAcentral. Lineage: Eukaryota; Metazoa; Arthropoda; Insecta; Plecoptera; Perlidae.
AUUUGUGUAGUUUAACUAAAACAUUACAUUUUCACUGUAAAAAUAAAGACUCAUCUUUUACAAAUA